CAAUAAUGCUUCCUAAUAAUAUCAAACUGAUGAGCAAAGAAAUAGCAUCCACAUUCUCAACUGAUGAUGUGGCAAAGAUCAAGAAAUUCUGCAAAACUCAAACCAAAGGUAAUGAGAAAGUUCUCAACAAUGGGGCAUGCAUUAAAGGAAACAUCAAUAUCUUAUUAUUAGUGCUGGCAUGAUGUGCAAUCGAGUCUAAUCCUGCGCUGCUCAUUCGGGCGAGACACCCACUGAUUUCACGAAUGGGCUUCACUUUAUCGCUG
RNAcentral lists this long non-coding RNA (263 nucleotides) under Parus major (Great Tit). RNAcentral describes it as "lncRNA (ENSPMJG00000014759.1)". Lineage: Eukaryota; Metazoa; Chordata; Aves; Passeriformes; Paridae. The record is from RNAcentral.